This 440-nucleotide ribosomal RNA is filed under the name uncultured bacterium. Its description in RNAcentral is "partial 16S ribosomal RNA". It matches the Rfam family "Bacterial small subunit ribosomal RNA", at positions 338 to 795 of the family's 1533-position model. The record is from RNAcentral.
CCUACGGGGGGCAGCAGUGGGGAAUAUUGCACAAUGGGGGAAACCCUGAUGCAGCGACGCCGCGUGAGUGAAGAAGUAUCUCGGUACGUAAAGCUCUAUCAGCAGGGAAGAAAAUGACGGUACCUGACUAAGAAGCCCCGGCUAAAUACGUGCCAGCAGCCGCGGUAAUACGUAGGGAGCAAGCGUUAUCCGGAUUUACUGGGCGUAAAGGGAGCGUAGGCGGCCUUGCAAGUCUGAUGUGAAAUACCGGGGCUCAACCCCGGGGCUGCAUUGGAAACUGGCAGGCUGGAGUGCCGGAGAGGCAGGCGGAAUUCCUAGUGUAGCGGUGAAAUGCGUAGAUAUUAGGAGGAACACCAGUGGCGAAGGCGGCCUGCUGGACGGUGACUGACGCUGAGGCUCGAAAGCGUGGGGAGCAAACAGGAUUAGAUACCCCUGUAGUC